GACGAACGCUGGCGGCGCGCCUAACACAUGCAAGUCGAACGGAGCGCACCGACGGAAGCCUUCGGGUGGAAGAUGGUGUUGCUUAGUGGCGAACGGGUGAGUAACACGUGAGCAACCUGCCCUAAAGUGGGGGACAACAUCUGGAAACGGAUGCUAAUACCGCAUAAGACCGCAGUACCGCAUGGUACAGUGGCCAAAGGAUUUAUUCGCUUUAGGAUGGGCUCGCGCCUGAUUAGAUAGUUGGUGGGGUAAUGGCCCACCAAGUCAACGAUCAGUAGCCGGACUGAGAGGUCGAUCGGCCACAUUGGGACUGAGAUACGGCCCAGACUCCUACGGGAGGCAGCAGUGGGGAAUAUUGGGCAAUGGGCGAAAGCCUGACCCAGCGACGCCGCGUGAGGGAAGAAGGUUUUAGGAUUGUAAACCUCUGUCUUCGGGGAAGAAACAAAUGACGGUACCCGAGGAGGAAGCCACGGCUAACUACGUGCCAGCCGCCGCCGUAACAC
This 503-nucleotide ribosomal RNA is filed under the name uncultured bacterium. Its description in RNAcentral is "bacterial SSU rRNA". It matches the Rfam family "Bacterial small subunit ribosomal RNA", at positions 28 to 526 of the family's 1533-position model. The record is from RNAcentral.